ACAUGCCUUUGCGUGGGGGAUAACUAUUGGAAACGAUAGCUAAUACCGCAUGAUGUCUACGGACCAAAGAGGGCUUCGGCUCUCGCGCAAAGAGUGGCCUAAGCGAGAUUAGCUUGUUGGUGAGGUAAAGGCUCACCAAGGCGACGAUCUCUAGCUGUUCUGAGAGGAAGAUCAGCCACACUGGGACUGAGACACGGCCCAGACUCCUACGGGAGGCAGCAGUGGGGAAUAUUGCACAAUGGGCGAAAGCCUGAUGCAGCCAUGCCGCGUGUGUGAAGAAGGCCUUCGGGUUGUAAAGCACUUUCAGUCGUGAGGAAAGGGUGUUGUUUAAUACGCAAUAUCUGUGACGUUAGCGACAGAAGAAGGACCGGCUAACUCCGUGCCAGCAGCCGCGGUAAUACGGAGGGUCCGAGCGCUAAUCGGAAUUACUGGGCGUAAAGCGUGCGUAGGCGGUUCAUUAAGUCAGAUGUGAAAUCCCGGGGCUCAACCUCGGAACUGCAUUUGAAACUGGUGAACUAGAGUAUUGUAGAGGGUGGUGGAAUUUCCAGUGUAGCGGUGAAAUGCGUAGAGAUUGGAAGGAACAUCAGUGGCGAAGGCGGCCACCUGGACAAAUACUGACGCUGAGGCACGAAAGCGUGGGGAGCAAACAG
RNAcentral lists this ribosomal RNA (650 nucleotides) under uncultured bacterium. RNAcentral describes it as "bacterial SSU rRNA". It matches the Rfam family "Bacterial small subunit ribosomal RNA", at positions 124 to 775 of the family's 1533-position model. The record is from RNAcentral.